RNAcentral lists this ribosomal RNA (499 nucleotides) under uncultured bacterium. RNAcentral describes it as "bacterial SSU rRNA". It matches the Rfam family "Bacterial small subunit ribosomal RNA", at positions 8 to 507 of the family's 1533-position model. The record is from RNAcentral.
AGAGUUUGAUCCUGGCUCAGGAUGAACGCUAGCGGCAGGCUUAACACAUGCAAGUCGAGGGGUAGAGGAAGCUUGCUUCCUUGAGACCGGCGCACGGGUGCGUAACGCGUAUGCAAUCUACCUUAUACAGGGGGAUAGCUCAGAGAAAUUUGGAUUAAUACCCAUAGUAUAAUUGAAUGGCAUCAUUUAAUUAUUAAAGUUCCAACGGUAUAAGAUGAGCAUGCGUCCCAUUAGCUAGUUGGUGUGGUAACGGCACACCAAGGCGACGAUGGGUAGGGGUCCUGAGAGGGAGAUCCCCCACACUGGUACUGAGACACGGACCAGACUCCUACGGGAGGCAGCAGUGAGGAAUAUUGGUCAAUGGGCGCAAGCCUGAACCAGCCAUGCCGCGUGCAGGAUGACGGUCCUAUGGAUUGUAAACUGCUUUUGUACAGGAAGAAACACUCCCUCGUGAGGGAGCUUGACGGUACUGUAAGAAUAAGGAUCGGCUAACUCCGUG